GAAUUUUAUAUAUAAAAUUUAUUAAUAGUUAAUUUAUUUAGUUGAUGAAUUUUUAUAUAUUUAAUUGGGAGGAUUGUUAAAUUAAUUAAACUUUAAUUACCAUGAGAAUAAUAUAGAUGAAUAAUUUAUAAAUAUAAAUAUGAAGGAGGAUUUUAUUUUAAUUGAGUAAGAAUUAAUUACCUUAGGGAUAACAGCGUAAUAAUUUUGGAAAGAACAUAUUGAUAAAAUUGAUUGC
RNAcentral lists this ribosomal RNA (235 nucleotides) under Sericomyrmex saussurei. Its description in RNAcentral is "partial large subunit ribosomal RNA". Lineage: Eukaryota; Metazoa; Arthropoda; Insecta; Hymenoptera; Formicidae. The record is from RNAcentral.